RNAcentral lists this long non-coding RNA (365 nucleotides) under Lepidothrix coronata (blue-crowned manakin). RNAcentral's name for it is "lncRNA (ENSLCOG00000003530.1)". Lineage: Eukaryota; Metazoa; Chordata; Aves; Passeriformes; Pipridae. The record is from RNAcentral.
GGGCUGACGGCGGUGGCUGGGGUUUGUGGAGUGUGUGGCGCCGCGGCUGCUGCGUACGGGUGGCAGAUAAAGAAGAUAUUGUACUGUUAUCCAGGUGUCAUAGUUGAUUGAAUUCUACAAGUCUUCAAGACUUCCACUGGAGUGGAAGGGGUGAGGCAACAGCUGUUGAGUUUAGCAGGAGUCCUGAACUAAUAGCCUCUUGACUCUACAAGCAUGCAGUGAUCACCAUCAGUUGUAAUGAAGAGGGUCCAAUGUUGUAAAGAUAAAAAUGUUAUGUUGUAAGUAACCUGCUAAACUUCAGGCCAGACAAACAGACCAUCAGUUUAAAAUUAGUUGUUUUCAGAAGGGUGUAAAAAAAAUGCCAG